Molecule: ribosomal RNA, 500 nt
Filed under: uncultured bacterium
Lineage: Bacteria
Description: partial 16S ribosomal RNA
Rfam family: Bacterial small subunit ribosomal RNA
Source: RNAcentral
AUUGAACGCUGGCGGCAUGCCUUACACAUGCAAGUCGAACGGCAGCACGGGAGCAAUCCUGGUGGCGAGUGGCGAACGGGUGAGUAAAGUAUCGGAACGUGCCCAGUCGUGGGGGAUAACGUAGCGAAAGUUACGCUAAUACCGCAUACGAUCUAUGGAUGAAAGCGGGGGAUCGCAAGACCUCGCGCGAUUGGAGCGGCCGAUAUCAGAUUAGGUAGUUGGUGGGGUAAAGGCCCACCAAGCCGACGAUCUGUAGCUGGUCUGAGAGGACGACCAGCCACACUGGGACUGAGACACGGCCCAGACUCCUACGGGAGGCAGCAGUGGGGAAUUUUGGACAAUGGGCGAAAGCCUGAUUCAGCCAUGCCGCGUGCAGGAUGAAGGCCUUCGGGUUGUAAACUGCUUUUGUACGGAACGAAAAGGACUGCCCUAAUACGGUGGUCCCAUGACGGUACCGUAAGAAUAAGUACCGGCUAACUACGUGCCAGCAGCCGCGGUAA